CAGGUAGAGAAUACCAAGGCGCUUGAGAGAACUCGGGUGAAGGAACUAGGCAAAAUGGUGCCGUAACUUCGGGAGAAGGCACGCUGACACGUAGGUGAAGUGAUUUACUCAUGGAGCUGAAGUCAGUCGAAGAUACCAGCUGGCUGCAACUGUUUAUUAAAAACACAGCACUGUGCAAACACGAAAGUGGACGUAUACGGUGUGACGCCUGCCCGGUGCCGGAAGGUUAAUUGAUGGGGUCAGCGUAAGCGAAGCUCCUGAUCGAAGCCCCGGUAAACGGCGGCCGUAACUAUAACGGUCCUAAGGUAGCGAAAUUCCUUGUCGGGUAAGUUCCGACCUGCACGAAUGGCGUAAUGAUGGCCAGGCUGUCUCCACCCGAGACUCAGUGAAAUUGAACUCGCUGUGAAGAUGCAGUGUACCCGCGGCAAGACGGAAAGACCCCGUGAACCUUUACUAUAGCUUGACACUGAACAUUGAGCCUUGAUGUGUAGGAUAGGUGGGAGGCUUUGAAGUGUGGACGCCAGUCUGCAUGGAGCCGACCUUGAAAUACCACCCUUUAAUGUUUGAUGUUCUAACGUGGACCCGUAAUCCGGGUUGCGGACAGUGUCUGGUGGGUAGUUUGACUGGGGCGGUCUCCUCCUAAAGAGUAACGGAGGAGCACGAAGGUUGGCUAAUCCUGGUCGGACAUCAGGAGGUUAGUGCAAUGGCAUAAGCCAGCUUGACUGCGAGCGUGACGGCGCGAGCAGGUGCGAAAGCAGGUCAUAGUGAUCCGGUGGUUCUGAAUGGAAGGGCCAUCGCUCAACGGAUAAAAGGUACUCCGGGGAUAACAGGCUGAUACCGCCCAAGAGUUCAUAUCGACGGCGGUGUUUGGCACCUCGAUGUCGGCUCAUCACAUCCUGGGGCUGAAGUAGGUCCCAAGGGUAUGGCUGUUCGCCAUUUAAAGUGGUACGCGAGCUGGGUUUAGAACGUCGUGAGACAGUUCGGUCCCUAUCUGCCGUGGGCGCUGGAGAACUGAGGGGGGCUGCUCCUAGUACGAGAGGACCGGAGUGGACGCAUCACUGGUGUUCGGGUUGUCAUGCCAAUGGCACUGCCCGGUAGCUAAAUGCGGAAGAGAUAAGUGCUGAAAGCAUCUAAGCACGAAACUUGCCCCGAGAUGAGUUCUCCCUGAGACUUAGAGUCUCCUGAAGGAACGUUGAAGACGACGACGUUGAUAGGCCGGGUGUGUAAGCGCAGCGAUGCGUUGAGCUAACCGGUACUAAUGAACCGUGAGGCUUAACCUU
Molecule: ribosomal RNA, 1280 nt
Filed under: Salmonella enterica
Lineage: Bacteria; Pseudomonadati; Pseudomonadota; Gammaproteobacteria; Enterobacterales; Enterobacteriaceae
Description: partial 23S ribosomal RNA
Rfam family: Bacterial large subunit ribosomal RNA
Source: RNAcentral